UGUGUAUAUUGGCUCUGUCCUAACUCAGGGGCUUUUCCACCCACGGCUAGGCCACCUGCCGUUGUUACGCCAGCCAGGAUGGGUCCUGUUUCUGGCGGCAUUCAGGGUGAGCCAGAAGGGCCCAGUUCCGGGGUAGACGUAUUUGCCUGGAGUGAGGAGCUGGGUCGGGUGAUGGAGCACAGUCACUGACGCGUGUGGAAAGCCCUUGUUUCCCAGGAAGCGAGUGGAACUUCUCGGUAUUUGAGUUGGGGAAGCUUGAAGUGAGAUUGUGGGGACUAAAUAAUACGGAACCAGGAGGCGUUUGGAGCUAGCCCUAAGCCCGGUAUGUGAGGGCGGUGAGCGGCGGGCAGAGCCAGCAGCCGUUACUUUCCUAGAGUGGCAUCCAUCUGGGGACAGUGUCGAACUGGAGACAGUCCCCUUAGCCAACUGCAGCAGGUCUGAAGCUAGUGGGGAGAGACCGCUGGUGUUGUUCUUGGCAUGCUCAGCACUGAAGUCUGUGAAAGCCUCGGAGGGGGAACUCAAAUCGUGGGGAUAAAGACCUUGUGAACUGCGGAACCUCUAACUGAGCCAUCCGCUCGGACGGCUCACAAGCGGCCCGUUGCCCGGACAGUGUUCUUGGGGUUGCAUACGUGACACUAAACGGGUACAGGUGCCCUUCCUGCAGUCUGAGGGCCCUCCAGACUGAACGAGGGGAGACCUUCCACUGUAGGGAGGGCCUUUCCAGACCAUUGUGCCCCACUGUUUUUCUCUUCCAGGCCAAUAUAUAUUGGCACGUUUCCGUAAGUACAGUACCAAAAGUGGAUGUUACACAUAUCAAAAGCAUUCGGACCACCUGUUGUGAGAGGGGGUUCCGCCAGCCUCGUCAGACGUGCUUGUUGCUGGUUUGGAAAGUCUGUUCCCAACUCAGGUCAUCACAUCCUGUAUAGCAGCUGCUGGUCUCGUUGUUGGGACAGGCAUCAAAAUACAAGGACAUGGUGUACUCAGUGUGUGUUGGUGUCAUCCGGAGGUCGGGCCGGCGAGCAAAGAGCUCAUCAGUCCGUGCAGGACAGUCCCGUUUCUGAGCUCUGUGGGCAGGCUCGACGGACUUUGGCCGCUCACCGCAGGCUGGAGUUGCUCCAGCUUUCAGAUGCCUGCAGGCCGCGCCCGGCUGGUGAUGUCAAGCAAGACCCGGCCUUGGGGCUCCUACAGCGGAGAGGGGAGCUUGGGCUCUGUCUUGUUCCCUUGCUUGUUCUGAAAUGAAAAGACAGCCCGUUUUCCCCUCCAGUCUCCCAUGCACAGCUGGGCGCAAGUCUCUUGGCCUUGUGUCUGCGGGAGCCCAGCCAUGGCCAUCUGGAUCCUCUGGUGUUCUGUCUGUCCUUUUUCACUAGCCUGCCUGAGCCACCCUGCUUAUCCUGGUGCACUAAGGUUAAGCAGCUCUUUUGUGUCUUUGUCCAUUACAGUGCAAAUCAUUUUUCAGUUGCUUGUUUUUAGACUGAUUAGACCAACCUUUCCUCCAGUUCCCAGCUGAGUCCGGGUGACCUUGGGCCCACGCACUUUAUUUUGCGCACAUGCACACACACACAUUCAUGCAUUUCCUCUUUCCCGGUUUCCAUCCUGGCGUGGCAUUUUGGGCCCUUCCUGUUGUGGAUGAUUCUCAUAAUUUUGACUGUCUGAGAGUAUUUUUCAGGCAUUCUUCGGUACUGAAGAGGGUCAGAAGGAAGUGCUGGCAGUCAUCCCAGUAGGGAGAUGGGUCUGAAAGAUAGAGGCCAGGAGAAGGUCAGAGCUUGAGGCUUCUCUGAAAGGAAUGAGGUGCGGUGUUUCCAGCUGAGAUCAGUGGAGGAGAAAGGCUGGUAAAAUGUGACAGGCAAUUGCUCUGGCCCUGGUGCGCCUCCCGGGUCAGCGCGGAGAGGCGUCUGGAGAUGGGAUGAGCAGAGGGGAUUGACAAGCCACAAGGCAGCUCACCCCCACGGGGGACUUAAGCUCUGUUAUUAACUCCUUAAUAAAAACUUCUUCCUCUUCA
Molecule: long non-coding RNA, 1999 nt
Organism: Chinchilla lanigera (long-tailed chinchilla)
Lineage: Eukaryota; Metazoa; Chordata; Mammalia; Rodentia; Chinchillidae
Exons: 3
Source: RefSeq, a predicted model, not a curated record